AGCAGCCGCGGUAAUUCCAGCUCCAAUAGCGUAUAUUAAAGUUGUUGCAGUUAAAAAGCUCGUAGUUGAAUUUCGGGAUCAAUUAAUCGGUCGUGCCUCUGGUACGCACUGGUUUUAUUGGUUUCUCCCUUCUGACGAACCAGGAUGUCAUUAAUUUGGUGUCUUGGAGAAUCAGGACUGUUACUUUGAAAAAUUAGAGUGUUUAAAGCAGGCUUCUAGGCAUGAAUACAUUAGCAUGGAAUAAUGAAA
This 249-nucleotide unclassified non-coding RNA is filed under the name uncultured Glomus. RNAcentral describes it as "sequence contains 18S rRNA gene". It matches the Rfam family "Eukaryotic small subunit ribosomal RNA", at positions 569 to 822 of the family's 1831-position model. Lineage: Eukaryota; Fungi; Glomeromycota; Glomeromycetes; Glomerales; Glomeraceae. The record is from RNAcentral.